This 482-nucleotide ribosomal RNA is filed under the name uncultured bacterium. RNAcentral's name for it is "partial 16S ribosomal RNA". It matches the Rfam family "Bacterial small subunit ribosomal RNA", at positions 30 to 507 of the family's 1533-position model. The record is from RNAcentral.
AUUGAGCGCUGGCGGCAUGCUUUACACAUGCAAGUCGAACGGUAACAGGCCGCAAGGUGCUGACGAGUGGCGAACGGGUGAGUAAUGCAUCGGAACGUGCCCAGUCGUGGGGGAUAACUACUCGAAAGAGUAGCUAAUACCGCAUACGAUCUAUGGAUGAAAGCGGGGGACCGUAAGGCCUCGCGCGAUUGGAGCGGCCGAUGUCAGAUUAGGCAGUUGGUGGGGUAAAGGCUCACCAAGCCAACGAUCUGUAGCUGGUCUGAGAGGACGACCAGCCACACUGGGGCUGAGACACGGCCCAGACUCCUACGGGAGGCAGCAGUGGGGAAUUUUGGACAAUGGGCGCAAGCCUGAUCCAGCAAUGCCGCGUGCAGGAAGAAGGCCUUCGGGUUGUAAACUGCUUUUGUACGGAACGAAACGGCUCUGGUUAAUACCCGGGGCUAAUGACGGUACCGUAAGAAUAAGCACCGGCUAACUACGUG